RNAcentral lists this ribosomal RNA (504 nucleotides) under uncultured bacterium. Its description in RNAcentral is "partial 16S ribosomal RNA". It matches the Rfam family "Bacterial small subunit ribosomal RNA", at positions 30 to 523 of the family's 1533-position model. The record is from RNAcentral.
AUUGAACGCUGGCGGCAGGCCUAACACAUGCAAGUCGAGCGGUAGCACAGGGAGCUUGCUCCUGGGUGACGAGCGGCGGACGGGUGAGUAAUGUCUGGGAAACUGCCUGAUGGAGGGGGAUAACUACUGGAAACGGUAGCUAAUACCGCAUAACGUCGCAAGACCAAAGAGGGGGACCUUCGGGCCUCUUGCCAUCAGAUGUGCCCAGAUGGGAUUAGCUAGUAGGUGGGGUAACGGCUCACCUAGGCGACGAUCCCUAGCUGGUCUGAGAGGAUGACCAGCCACACUGGAACUGAGACACGGUCCAGGCUCCUACGGGAGGCAGCAGUGGGGAAUAUUGCACAAUGGGCGCAAGCCUGAUGCAGCCAUGCCGCGUGUAUGAAGAGGGCCUUCGGGUUGUAAAGUACUUUCAGCGGGGAGGAAGGCGAUAAGGUUAAUAACCUUGUCGAUUGACGUUACCCGCAGAAGAAGCACCGGCUAACUCCGUGCCAGCAGCCGCCGUAA